AGAUAUGCAUGGUAAAUAUGCGGGAACUAGGCGGGAAUUCAAAGAGACGCAGACAUUAAAAAGUCAAUGCAUUUCUGGGUUAGUAGACA
Non-coding RNA from Caenorhabditis elegans, 89 nucleotides. The record is from Ensembl. NCBI's taxonomy places the organism in Eukaryota, Metazoa, Nematoda, Chromadorea, Rhabditida, Rhabditidae.